CCUACGGGAGGCAGCAGUGAGGAAUAUUGGACAAUGGGCGCAAGCCUGAUCCAGCCAUGCCGCGUGCAGGAAGAAGCAUCUAUGGUGUGUAAACUGCUUUUGUACAGGAAGAAACACUCCCUCGUGAGGGAGCUUGACGGUACUGUAAGAAUAAGGACCGGCUAACUCCGUGCCAGCAGCCGCGGUAAUACGGAGGGUCCGAGCGUUAUCCGGAAUCAUUGGGUUUAAAGGGUCCGUAGGCGGUUUAAUAAGUCAGUGGUGAAAUCUGGUCGCUCAACGAUCAAACGGCCAUUGAUACUGUUAGACUUGAAUUAUAAGGAAGUAACUAGAAUAUGUAGUGUAGCGGUGAAAUGCUUAGAUAUUACAUGGAAUACCAAUUGCGAAGGCAGGUUACUACUUAUGGAUUGACGCUGAUGGACGAAAGCGUGGGGAGCGAACAGGAUUAGAUACCCUGGUAGUCCACGCCGUAAACGAUGGAUACUAGCUGUUCGGAGCAAUCUGAGUGGCUAAGCGAAAGUGAUAAGUAUCCCACCUGGGGAGUACGUUCGCAAGAAUGAAACUUAAAGAUAGUACGACGUGAGACGUAGCGACGAGACACGACGGGAGGUUAGG
Molecule: ribosomal RNA, 612 nt
Filed under: uncultured bacterium
Lineage: Bacteria
Description: bacterial SSU rRNA
Rfam family: Bacterial small subunit ribosomal RNA
Source: RNAcentral